GCAGAACUAAUUUUCUCUCCAUGUUGGUUAGCAUAAUAGUAAAUUAACUUAAUAUGUUAAAAACUGAAGUUGUGGCGCUGCCAUCAAGCCUGGGCCGAAGUGUUGAAGAGCGAUCCUGCGCUCGGGGAGUUAGUGAGGCAUCGCUGGAGGCGACAGGUCGUCGGUUGUGGAUACCACAGAGGCCACUGCAGGACAUAGCAACCACACAAUCUUGACUGCCCUGGGACUUCACCACAGCACGACAAUGUCUACACAAGUAAGGCGUGGAAGCUUUUAAGCAACUGCCAGAGGUAGGCAGUAUGUCGUCGUCCCGCCGAAGGCCGUACAGCCCGGCCUCCACCCGCCAGUACUGAACCCCGCUAACGGAACGCACCCCUAGCCCACCCCCACGCACGGAGAUGUGGAGAGGGUCGGAAGAGAGUUCUCCUCUACCCUUCGCCGCGAAAACCCGCGCUUCACGAGAGCUCCGGCCACGCCGUCGUUAGCCGUAAAGGCACCCGCAGAUGGGACGGAGUGAGCGUACGAGUAAGUGAACGUGCAAAUAGUGAAUGUGCAAUUAGUGAGCGUGCGAGUAGUGAACAGUGACUCCAGUGAACCAGUGCUUCGUGAGUAUUGUUCUCUGCCGACAUAAGCAGGGCCACCCAUUCACCGCUAGUUGUGGACCGUACAUGUGCACCACCGCCGACCCUAGUGGGACACGCGGGGGGCGAAGCACCCGCGACCCACAGCGAUGAGCUAGCCUGGCACCCUACGGGAACCCUAAGCCACCAGUCCACAUUAGGAUCCACCGGGUCUCGUGCUCGAGACCGCAGGUGACGGCAAAUGUGUCGUGAUUGGACGGUGGUCACGUGACUCCCUUCUCCCGGUCUGGCUGGAGGCAGUGGUGUCAUCCCGCAGUUUUCUGCUCAACGUCGCCUGAAUAAGUCACGUUUGGCAGUGGCUCAAGCCAAAAUUACAUAAUAUGUACUAAGGAAAGAACUUUACGGCUGUGGUACAGACUGCACUUUAACCAAACUUGUUUCGGACAAUUAUUCUGAAUUUUCAAUGACCACAGUCGUUGGUACUCAGCCCAAGAUGGAGCUUAAGAGCCCGUCUACAAUAGUCCCAACCUGUGCGUGGUCGGUGUCCUUAUCCGAAUGUGAGUGACGUCACAUUGUCUCACCGAAAACUGCCCUGUUCACAAUUGCGAUGUCCGAUGUCCGAAUGUAUUGAUUUCUAAAGUUGUUACCAGAGCGCAGUAAAUGUGCCAAACCAAAUGUUUUUGUUUAUUGUUUUGAUGCUUUAUAGUUUGAGAUUGAACUUAUGAAAGUUAUGUAAGUUAUAAGUGACUAACAUCACCUUCCAUUUCCUUUAAUAACAAAAACACCACGUUUUCAAACGGUAACCGGAAAUUCAAAUAUUGUGAAUGUUCUGUUCUUUUUCUGUGUCCGAAGUACACAGGUUGGGACACAAAGUUCAAAUUGACGAAUGUCUUCGGCUUGAUGUAGGCUUUUGGACAUACGCCAUUGCUUAGCACAUGUAUGUCUGUAGAAGAAAACUACAAAAAAACACAAAUUGUUUGUUGACCAUAUUCCUGUUGUGGAGUAUUGUGUGGCGUUAAAUCCUGACAACAGCAUUUUUUUUGCUUAAUUUGUGUUUUUUGUCAUAUGUGUUUUUUUGUAGUUUUCUUCUACAGACAUACAUGUGCUAAGCAAUGGCGUAUGUCCAAAAGCCUGCAUCAAGUCACACACUCCCAAUGCACAAAUCUUUCAAAGAGAAUGUCUUCGGACCAGGUAGGUUCGGACCUUCGCCCACUUGACGCAUGACGUCAGAGGGUCACGUGGACCAAUCAGCGACGAGUGUCCUUCGGACACAGUUUAGGACAUUGCUAUUGUAGACGGGCCUUAAUUGAUAUGUUGCAGCCAUCCCAAGGACACUUUUGUCCUUGGCUUGUACCGUCUAUGCCAAGUGACUUCGGGAAUUAUCUGCAAGAUGUGAAAUGGGGAAGUGAGUAUUAAGAACAUUUUGUACAACCUCAAAAUUACUAAACAUUCACAUUUUCGAGCAGGAAAUUUUCAUUUGUGCAUGCAUGAAAACUGUGAGGACCUGUUGUAAACAUCAUGUAAUG
Long non-coding RNA from Bacillus rossius redtenbacheri, 2107 nucleotides. RefSeq lists it as uncharacterized. The transcript is spliced from 4 exons. NCBI's taxonomy places the organism in Eukaryota, Metazoa, Arthropoda, Insecta, Phasmatodea, Bacillidae. The record is from RefSeq and is a predicted model, not a curated record.